Molecule: ribosomal RNA, 496 nt
Filed under: uncultured bacterium
Lineage: Bacteria
Description: partial 16S ribosomal RNA
Rfam family: Bacterial small subunit ribosomal RNA
Source: RNAcentral
GACGAACGCUGGCGGCGUGCCUAAUACAUGCAAGUUGAGCGCUGAAGGUUGGUACUUGUACCAACUGGAUGAGCAGCGAACGGGUGAGUAACGCGUGGGGAAUCUGCCUUUGAGCGGGGGACAACAUUUGGAAACGAAUGCUAAUACCGCAUAAAAACUUUAAACACAAGUUUUAAGUUUGAAAGAUGCAAUUGCAUCACUCAAAGAUGAUCCCGCGUUGUAUUAGCUAGUUGGUGAGGUAAAGGCUCACCAAGGCGAUGAUACAUAGCCGACCUGAGAGGGUGAUCGGCCACAUUGGGACUGAGACACGGCCCAAACUCCUACGGGAGGCAGCAGUAGGGAAUCUUCGUCAAUGGACGAAAGUCUGACCGAGCAACGCCGCGUGAGUGAAGAAGGUUUUCGGAUCGUAAAACUCUGUUGGUAGAGAAGAACGUUGGUGAGAGUGGAAAGCUCAUCAAGUGACGGUAACUACCCAGAAAGGGACGGCUAACUACGU